ACAGUGCAACGGGACGAAUCAAUCGGUCGUGUGAAAGCAGUUAGGAUAAGAACGAUUUCGAGUUGAUUUCGUGUACGCGCGUUCAGCGUUUCCUUCGCCAGGUGUGCCAACAGUUGGAUGACAUACUUUCUGAGAUUGGAGUAACAUAACCAAAGUCAAAACGGAGAAUUGAAAGCGAUUUGCUCGGAAAGAUUUACUAUUUUGAACAUAUAUUGUGAAAUAAUGCAGGCUAUAAGAAUAAUGAACGCCAACACUUUGGCAAUGGGUACCACAGCACUCUGCGAGACUUUUGUUCCAAAUUCCAUCUAUACACAGUGCGUGCGUUGGAAGAGAAAACCAAUUUGGCUACCCUCAGCGAAAUCUAAAAUGUUUCGAAUACCAAAAAGACCUGUCAUACCUAUCGAGGAGGCAUUAGAGCUUCAACGUUUAAGUAAUAAUUAUAAGACAUAUGAGACAUCAUUUAGGGCAUAUUUAAAAAAAAUAGAGCAGGAGAAGAAGAUAGAAUCUGACAAGGUGGUUAACGAGCAGCUCGAAGAGGAGGAUUUUAAAGCGUGUAGCGCUAUAAAUGAUGAGUGGAAUGCGGAAGUGGCGAAAAAACGAGAAAUCAGGCUAGAGGAGAUGAGGGCAAAGCGCAGAAGCAAGAUCCUAGAGGUUUUAUUAAAAGUAGAGCAGAAACAGGAAAUGGAGAAGGCGAGGCUCAAUGAAUAUGUCAGAAAGACCAAGGAAGAAUCUGUCACAUUCAUCACCGCUGAAAACGUGGACGCCGCGAUCGAGGAAUGUCUUACAAAAAUCGUCAAUCAUAAUCGUGCGUUGGAUUUAGAAGGAAAUUGGCACGAAGGAAAGUAUCCUCCGGAUCCACCUCUCGAAGAGAUACAGAAAUCAGUGACCGUCGAGCAAGGAUGUUAAACUUGAAAAUUUGAUAUCUAGACUGCUCGGAAAAGUGAAAUUGAAGUUUACUAGACCUAUUCCAAGUAUUUUAAACUCUUGCUGGAAUAAUGAUGAUAAUCAAUUUUGUUGCAGAAAGUUGUGCAAAAUGCUCUGAAUAACAAUCCAUAUAUAAAAUAUUCGAAUUCAAAGGCACGGCUAAUUAAGGUACCGGUUAGUUAAUCAAAAACUUUUUCAUCCUUGUGGUAAGCUUACAGAGAGCUUACGGAAAAGUAUUCCAAGCAGUUUGUAUAAUUAGCGUAGCACGUCCAGAGCACCUCAUUAAAACUGCGCGACUCGAAUGCAACCCGGUUGUACCCACUACACGUAUGCAUAUACAUACAGGCGACUGCCUGCUACUGCUGCUAUUUAUCUGCUUCCCUUUAACGCACUUCAAGUGCAGUCUUUCGCGAACAGCGCGCCAACUCGCAUCACCGAUUUCACCCUCUCUGUUCUAGAGGCGAAAAGAAACGGAAAAAAAA
Molecule: RNA transcript, 1406 nt
Organism: Solenopsis invicta (red fire ant)
Lineage: Eukaryota; Metazoa; Arthropoda; Insecta; Hymenoptera; Formicidae
Gene: mRpS26
Gene name: probable 28S ribosomal protein S26, mitochondrial
Exons: 4
Source: RefSeq, a predicted model, not a curated record